UAGGUAAUCUUCCGCAAUGGACGAAAGUCUGACGGAGCAACGCCGCGUGAGUGAAGAAGGAUUUCGGUUCGUAAAACUCUGUUGUUAGGGAAGAAAAAAUGUAUAGUAACUAUAUACAAAAGAGACGGUACCUAACCAGACAGCCACGGCUAACUACGUGCCAGCAGCCGCGGUAAUACGUAGGUGGCAAGCGUUGUCCGGAAUUAUUGGGCGUAAAGCGCGCGCAGGUGGUUUAGAAAGUCUGAUGUGAAAGCCCACGGCUCAAACGUGGAGGGUCAUUGGAAACUAAUAAACUUGGGGGAAGGAGAGAAAAGUGGAAUUCCUAGUGUGGCGGUGGAAUGCGUAGAGAUUAGGUGGAACACCGGUGGCGAAAGCGGCUUUUUGGCCUGCAACUGACACUGAGGCGCGAAAGCGUGGGGAGCCAACAGG
RNAcentral lists this ribosomal RNA (429 nucleotides) under Verrucomicrobiota bacterium. RNAcentral describes it as "Verrucomicrobia bacterium partial 16S ribosomal RNA". It matches the Rfam family "Bacterial small subunit ribosomal RNA", at positions 355 to 776 of the family's 1533-position model. Lineage: Bacteria; Pseudomonadati; Verrucomicrobiota. The record is from RNAcentral.